RNAcentral lists this ribosomal RNA (709 nucleotides) under uncultured archaeon. RNAcentral describes it as "bacterial SSU rRNA". It matches the Rfam family "Archaeal small subunit ribosomal RNA", at positions 47 to 762 of the family's 1478-position model. The record is from RNAcentral.
AGCCAUGUGAGUCAUUGUAGCAAUACAAGGCAGACGGCUCAGUAACACGUAGCCAAUCUAACCUAUGGACGGGGAUAACCUCGGGAAACUGAGGAUAAACCCCGAUAGAUCAUUAUGCCUGGAACGGUUUAUGGUCCAAAUGAUUCGUCGCCGUAGGAUGAGACUGCGGCCUAUCAGCUUGUUGGUGAGGUAAUGGCCCACCAAGGCUAUUACAGGUACGGGCUCUGAGAGGAGAAGCCCGGAGAUGGGUACUGAGACACGGACCCAGGCCCUAUGGGGCGCAGCAGGCGAGAAACCUUUGCAAUGUGCGCAAGCACGACAAGGUUAAUCCGAGUGAUUCCUGCUAAAGGAAUCUUUUGUUAGUCUUAAAAUCACUAUUGAAUAAGGGGUGGGCAAGUUCUGGUGUCAGCCGCCGCGGUAAAACCAGCACCUCAAGUGGUCAGGAGGAUUAUUGGGCCUAAAGCAUCCGUAGCCUGCUCUGUAAGUUUCCGGUUAAAUCCAUUAGCUCAACUAAUGGCCUGCCGGAAAUACUGUAGAGCUAGGAAGUGGGAGAGGUAGACGGUACUCGGUAGGAAGUGGUAAAAUGCUUUGAUCUAUUGAUGACCACCUGUGGCGAAGGCGGUCUACCAGAACACGUUCGACGGUGAGGGAUGAAAGCUGGGGGAGCAAACCGGAUUAGAUACCCGGGUAGUCCCAGCUGUAAACGAUG